UAGGGAAUAUUGCGCAAUGGGAGCAAUCCUGACGCAGCAACGCCGCGUGGGUGAUGAAGGCCUUCGGGUCGUAAAGCUCUGUCGGAUGGAAAGAAACGGAUGCGGGUUAAUAGCCUUCAUCCCUGACGGUACCAUCAGAGGAAGCACCGGCUAACUCCGUGCCAGCAGCCGCGGUAAUACGGGGGGUGCAAGCGUUGUUCGGAAUCAUUGGGCGUAAAGCGCGUGUAGGCGGCUUGGUAAGUCAGGUGUGAAAGCCCUGGGCUCAACCCAGGAAGUGCACUUGAAACUGCCUUUCUUGAGUACGGGAGAGGAAAGGGGAAUUGCUGGUGUAGAGGUGAAAUUCGUAGAUAUCAGGAGGAACACCGGUGGCGAAGGCGGCUUUCUGGCCCAAUACUGACGCUGAGACGCGAAAGCGUGGGGAGCAAACA
This 428-nucleotide ribosomal RNA is filed under the name uncultured prokaryote. RNAcentral's name for it is "bacterial SSU rRNA". It matches the Rfam family "Bacterial small subunit ribosomal RNA", at positions 355 to 774 of the family's 1533-position model. The record is from RNAcentral.